CCUACGGGUGGCAGCAGUGAGGAAUAUUGGUCAAUGGCCGGAAGGCUGAACCAGCCAUGCCGCGUGAAGGUCAGUGCCCUAUGGGCGUUAAACUUCUUUUGUGCGGGAGCAAUAAUGGUCACGUGUGGCCAGACGAGAGUACCGUACGAAUAAGCAUCGGCUAACUCCGUGCCAGCAGCCGCGGUAAUACGGGGGAUGCAAGCGUUAUCCGGAUUUAUUGGGUUUAAAGGGUGCGUAGGCUGUGAGGUAAGUCAGCGGUGAAAUGCCCCCGCUCAACGGGGUGAAGUGCCAUUGAUACUGCCUAGCUGGAAGGCGGAUGCGGUGGGAGGAAUGUGUGGUGUAGCGGUGAAAUGCAGAGAGAGAACACAGAACACCGAUUGCGAAGGCAUCUCACGAACCCGCGAUUGACGCUGAUGCACGAAAGCGUGGGUAGCAAACAGGAUUAGAUACCCGAGUAGUC
This 460-nucleotide ribosomal RNA is filed under the name uncultured bacterium. Its description in RNAcentral is "partial 16S ribosomal RNA". It matches the Rfam family "Bacterial small subunit ribosomal RNA", at positions 338 to 795 of the family's 1533-position model. The record is from RNAcentral.